CUACGGUGAAUACGUUCCCGGACCUUGCACACACCGGCCCGUCAAGCCAUGGAAGCCGGGUGUACCUAAAGUCGGUAACCGGUAAGGAGCCGCCUAGGGUAAACUGGUGACUGGGGCU
Molecule: ribosomal RNA, 118 nt
Filed under: uncultured bacterium
Lineage: Bacteria
Description: partial 16S ribosomal RNA
Rfam family: Bacterial small subunit ribosomal RNA
Source: RNAcentral